This 530-nucleotide ribosomal RNA is filed under the name uncultured bacterium. RNAcentral's name for it is "bacterial SSU rRNA". It matches the Rfam family "Bacterial small subunit ribosomal RNA", at positions 18 to 518 of the family's 1533-position model. The record is from RNAcentral.
CUUGGUUCAGGACGAACGCUGGCGGCGUGCCUAAUACAUGCAAGUCGAACGGUCUUUUCUAUGGAAGCUUGCUUCCACUGAGAAGAUAGUGGCGAACGGGUGAGUAACACGUGGGUAACCUGCCCAUAAGAGGGGGGAUAACAUCCGGAAACGGGUGCUAAUACCGCAUAGUUUUUCUUGAUUGCAUGAUUGAGAAAGGAAAGACGGCCUUUGUGCUGUCGCUUAUGGAUGGACCCGCGGCGUAUUAGUUAGUUGGUGAGGUAACGGCUCACCAAGACGAUGAUACGUAGCCGACCUGAGAGGGUGAUCGGCCACAUUGGGACUGAGACACGGCCCAAACUCCUACGGGAGGCAGCAGUAGGGAAUCUUCCGCAAUGGACGAAAGUCUGACGGAGCAACGCCGCGUGAGUGAAGAAAGGUUUUCGGAUCGUAAAACUCUGUUGUCAGAGAAGAACAAGUUGGAGAGUAACUGCUCCAGCCUUGACGGUAUCUGACCAGAAAGCCACGGCUAACUACGUGCCAGCAGCGGC